CGCGAAAACUUCACACUGCAGGAAACUGUGAUGAGGGAACUCCAAGUGACUGCCCAAUGGGUGGCCUUUUCUUGAAAUCUUAAUAGUUCUUGGAAUAAGGGCUGGGAAAGACCGGUGCCAGCCGCCGCGGUAAUACCGGCAGCUCAAGUGGUCGUCGCUUUUAUUGGGCCUAAAACGUCCGUAGCCUGUUUGGUAAAUCUGUGGGUAAAUCAACGAGCUUAACUCGUUGAAUUCUGCAGAGACUGCCAGACUAGGGACCGGAGAGGUGUGGGGUACUCGAGGGGUAGGGGUAAAAUCCUGUCAUCCUUUGAGGACCACCAGUUGCGAAGGCGCCACACUGGAACGGAUCCGACGGUCAGGGACGAAGCCUAGGGGCACGAACCGGAUUAGAUACCCGGGUAGUCCUAGGUGUAAACGCUGUGAACUUGGUGUCGGGGAUCCGCAAGGGGUCCUCGGUGCCGGAGUG
RNAcentral lists this ribosomal RNA (466 nucleotides) under uncultured euryarchaeote. Its description in RNAcentral is "bacterial SSU rRNA". It matches the Rfam family "Archaeal small subunit ribosomal RNA", at positions 340 to 808 of the family's 1478-position model. Lineage: Archaea; Methanobacteriati; Methanobacteriota. The record is from RNAcentral.